Molecule: ribosomal RNA, 1695 nt
Filed under: Triticum aestivum (bread wheat)
Lineage: Eukaryota; Viridiplantae; Streptophyta; Magnoliopsida; Poales; Poaceae
Description: partial small subunit ribosomal RNA
Source: RNAcentral
AUGCUAGAUGAUUUGCCAUGUAUUGAGUGCAAUUAUGCCUUUAGUCUUGAUAAUGAGUUUGCCCCCGUAGCAUUCUUGCAUAUAUUUGGAGAUUUUGACAUAUUUCUUGUGAAGCAUGCUUGUCUUACCUCUUUGCAUCAUAUACCUAGUGCCAUGAAUAUUGCCAUUGUUGCAUCAUAUUAUUCAUGCACUUGUGCUUCUAAUGGUUAUGUGCAAAAGCAUAGAACCAUCAUGAUGGAUGAUGUGUUUAUCUACCAUGCACAUACGUUCUUUGUUUUGUUGUGUGCAUGUGUAGGAUACUUGGACUUUGUGUCGACUUCCACGUCACGUGAGUUGACAAUUCGAGCUCUUGAGAGCGAACCACUUUCUACCAUGACGAUUCUACAUUGCACUUGCUUGUACUUCGGCAUUGUGAAGGACGCACAAGGACAUGCUUUCAAGGUGAUAUCAUUCUCUUUCGAGAACCACCAAACCUUGAGCAUGGAUAUAAUGGAUCAUACUACUUGUGUUGCUUGCACCAUGAGACUUAUUGUUCAUAUUGGACCACUUGAUUGCACACAUGAUAGAGAUCUUGCUUCCAGUUGUCAUUUUCACCAUUACAUGCAUCAUGAUAUAUAUGCAUUGUGUGUUGCAUCCAAUUCUUGGAUUACUUGCUCCUAUCAUAUGUUUGGUUGCAACAAUAUCAUUUCUUCACAUAUGCCAUGUCCCAUUGCUUGUCACAUGAUUGACUUGAUUGCCUCACACAUGAUGAACAAUUGCUCUUUUUAUUGUGUUGAGUGCCACAAGAUUUUCACUACACCCUAUGCACGUUAUGCUUGGAUUGUCUUGCACUUGACCCAUGUGUUUAGACACUUCAUUUUAUUUGGUGUUGUGAAUGAUUCAUAUGCCUACCACAGACCUUUCAUUGUGCAAUUUGUGAAUGCUUUCUAUGACCUUGAGGUAGAUGCUUAUUCUCUUGUCAAACAUAUUUGCAUUUCUACCUCACAUUUACAUGCUUGUCCCCAUGAUAUCUUUGCUUUUGCUCGAUUGAUAUGCUUACAUGCCAUGUCACAAUCCUUUAUCACACCAUAUGCUUUGCAUGAUGCCGACACUUGUUUGGUGACUCACCUCUUGAAUGCUUGGUUUUGUACUAACGCUAACCACAUUUGUUUUUCCAAGUGUUUGUUGUCCUUACUCCUUUUGAAGGAAUCACAAGACGGUGCGACAUUGGAGAGUGCCCAUUUCGAGCUUCAAGAUGACAAAUACUUGGUGACCGUACACUUCUACACGACGAAGCCAUCUCUUUCCCAUGGUGAUUUGGUUUUCGAUCCGAGGUCGGAUCUUUCCCAAGGGAGGGGAGAUGAUGCGGAGCAUCCUAUGGACAUCACCAUGUCAAGAGUCCGUUCGGCGAGUGACACGUGCGACAUCUAUUUCGCAUACACAAAGGUGAAUCAUCUCCUUUACACGUGCUCACUUGACCCCUUCGAGGAUGGUAUACUACUUGACACUUCUCCCGUGUGCAUGCAUAGGUAUUGUCGGAGCUUCACGGAUGACGAGGAGGAGUGCAAGCGCCAAGGAACAACUACACCAUCCGCGAGGGAAGCCUGGAAGCGACGAUGGAAGAAGACGGAGCUGCUGAAGCUACAGCGGCCGGACAUCCGGGCCAGAGGCCGGACAUCCGGCACCUGUGCAGCCGGGCAACAACUGCACCAAUAG